GACGAACGCUGGCGGCGUGCCUAAUACAUGCAAGUAGAACGCUGAAGGAGGAGCUUGCUUCUCUGGAUGAGUUGCGAACGGGUGAGUAACGCGUAGGUAACCUGCCUGGUAGCGGGGGAUAACUAUUGGAAACGAUAGCUAAUACCGCAUAAGAGUAGAUGUCGCAUGACAUUUGCUUAAAAGGUGCAAUUGCAUCACUACCAGAUGGACCUGCGUUGUAUUAGCUAGUUGGUGAGGUAACGGCUCACCAAGGCAACGAUACAUAGCCGACCUGAGAGGGUGAUCGGCCACACUGGGACUGAGACACGGCCCAGACUCCUACGGGAGGCAGCAGUAGGGAAUCUUCGGCAAUGGACGGAAGGCUGACCGAGCAACGCCGCGUGAGUGAAGAAGGGUGUCGGAUCGUAAAGCUCUGUUGUAAGAGAAGAACGAGUGUGAGAGUGGAAAGUUCACACUGUGACGGUAUCUUACCAGAAAGGGACGGCUAACUACGUG
RNAcentral lists this ribosomal RNA (495 nucleotides) under uncultured bacterium. RNAcentral's name for it is "partial 16S ribosomal RNA". It matches the Rfam family "Bacterial small subunit ribosomal RNA", at positions 28 to 507 of the family's 1533-position model. The record is from RNAcentral.